UUUUUUUUUUUUUUUUUGAGGCAGAGUCUUGCUCUGUUCCCCCAGGCUGGAGUGCAGUGGCGCAAUCUCGGCUCACUGGAACCUCCACGUCCCGGGUUCAAGCAAUUCUGUCUCAGCCUCCCAAGUCGCUGGGACCACAGGUGCACACCACCAUGCUUGGCUAAUUUUUGUUUUUUUUAGCAGAGACAGGGUUUCACCAUAUUGAUCAGGCUAGUCUUGAACUCCUGACCUCAGGUGAUCCACCCACCUUGGCCUCCCAAAGUGCUGGGAUGACAGGCAUGAGCCACUGCGCCCUGCCACGCUAUACCAAUUUGAGACACAAAGUGAGAGUGAAUGGUCUCAGGGAUGAUCAAGAAAAAGCAAUGCCUUUGUGAAUGUCGAGGGUCCUUUGGCUAGAAGAGAGGAUCAGCAUGUAUAUUCCAUAUUCCAUAGGAUCUUCAGUCUCCUGUUUUAGAAGUGCAUCAGACAUAAACUGAUUUGUAUAUUUUUAGGUGAAAUUCACAUUUUUAGGUGAAACAAAGUUAACCAUUUUAAAUUCAAGUUUGGUGGCAUUUAGUCUUUACAGUGUUACCUAGUUCCAAAACGUCUUCCUCAUUCUUUGUGUUUUAACCCUAUCUCCCAGUGUUUAAGUGACACAGUGACAGUGAACUUCUCAUCCAUCAGCAGUCUUGAGCAGACAACCCUGAUGAGUGAGUUCUAGGAUCAAAGCUUCCCAGAGUUUGUGGUGCAUUUUAAUCGGGGCAAACUUGAGGAAGGCAGUGAAACUAAGUAGAGCUCUGAAUAACAGCAUUUCACUCAGUGCAGAGCUGUCCCACACUACUCUGCCCAGUUUCUAGGUCAAAAAACAUACCUUUCCGACACUUUAAUAUGCUAAGGUGUACCAUGAAUGAGAGAGGGGAGGGGGAAAUGGUGAUAUAAGCCACACGGAGCCCAUUAAGAAGCCCUAGGCCCUGCCCCCAAGGUGGUGAGGCUCUGGGCCUCAUGUUUUGAAAGAUCUUUGGAGACCCUGUCUUACCUGGGCACCCUGGGCAAACAGAAACCACUCUGUCUACUGUUGGAGGAUGAAGUAGACAAUCUUCCUAGAUAUGCUUCCCACUUAAUCCCCCCCAUCCCGUCCUAUGGAGAUGUCUAUUGUUUGUAAAGAAUAUGCCACCCAUACAACUGUAUCCAUGUCACCUAACCAGGAAGAUACCCUAAGUAGACAGUUCUGGGGAGUAAGAUAAAAGCCAGCAGAAAGAGUGCUUGGCUUAGACAAGAUGGAGUUUUAGAUGGUGCCCAAAGAGACCUAGCAACCAUCCAACUAGAAAGGGGUCAAGACCAGGAGUGCUCUUUGUGGAGCCAGGGAUCUGUCCAUAUGGCUUUGCAAUGCCUAGUCAUAAAAAACACUCACUGUACUUAAAGUAACCGACGCAAGGUGGGGAGAGGCCCAGGCAUG
Molecule: long non-coding RNA, 1435 nt
Filed under: Macaca fascicularis (crab-eating macaque)
Lineage: Eukaryota; Metazoa; Chordata; Mammalia; Primates; Cercopithecidae
Description: lncRNA (ENSMFAG00000059277.1)
Source: RNAcentral